Molecule: ribosomal RNA, 312 nt
Filed under: Triticum aestivum (bread wheat)
Lineage: Eukaryota; Viridiplantae; Streptophyta; Magnoliopsida; Poales; Poaceae
Description: partial small subunit ribosomal RNA
Source: RNAcentral
AUGAACAAGAACGUGCUGACGCCUGUGCGCGCCACCACGCCCACCGCCAGCUCCAGCUGCGGGCUUCAGCAGAACAUCAUCCCGCUGCUUGAGGUCAGAAUUCUCGUCUGCGGUGGCGAGGCAGAGACGACGCUCGAGGGUAGGGGCUUGGACGCCGAGGCCGAGCGAGGGGAUGGUGAGGAGCUUGGAGACGAGUUGGUUGACGUGCUGGCCUGGGAGCUCUGGUCGGCGGCGUCAAAGGCGCUGAUGUCGCCGAUGGGGAUGGACGGUGGGCCUGGUCAUACGGCCGAUUACAUUAUUACAGUUCAUUAG